RNAcentral lists this long non-coding RNA (698 nucleotides) under Panax ginseng (ginseng). Its description in RNAcentral is "long non-coding RNA (PGIN_LNC003517)". The record is from RNAcentral. Lineage: Eukaryota; Viridiplantae; Streptophyta; Magnoliopsida; Apiales; Araliaceae.
ACUGAUUUCACGACUUAAGAACUGUUUAACUUGCUUAUGUUGUUACAGAACCAUGUGAAAUAAUGAUGAAUGAAAAAAAAAAAAAAAAAAAAAAUAAAAAUAUGCUUCAAUGUCUAUUGUGCGAAAUAACUGGGUAUCUAAGCCUCGGGAAGCAUCGGUAUUCACGCUGAAAAGUGCGAUGGAUAAAAGCAGCUUGACUAGUCGACUUUUGUGGCCUUUGUUACUUGAAUAAGUAAGCCCGUAGGGGUGUCUCUACACCUAGCGCCCUAAGAUCAUCUGGUUUGGGAGUCGUUGGUGGAAAGUUCGCUAAUGGGUAACUCUGAAAAGCCUAAGAAAAGGAGACAUUGCACAUGUCAAGAAAAAAAAAAAAAAAAAAAAAAUACGAAAAAAAAGAGAAGAAGCAUGAAAAUACAUUCAUCUGUGCUAAAAAGAAGGUUCUAUGAAAAAAUUAAAAAGCGAGAAAAAUUUGUUCUUGGUUAUGAGUCAGUGUGCACGGUUUUUGCUCCAUGGUAACUAAGUUGAGUAAGUAUGAUGAUUUUGGGAAAGUUACUUAUGUGGCUACAAUUUGAUUUAAUGAAAUUCAUUGGUGAAAUGGUAAAGUUGGUAAUUGUGAGUUAAUUGAUAAGGCGUUGAUUAGAUUUCUGCAAAUUUAGUGUUGAUAGUCAUUAUUUGUAUCUUGAAAUCUUUUGACACUAUGG